UUUGGAUUAAUGCCCUAUGUUAUAUUGAGUCGGCAUCGAUUUUAUAUUAAAGGUUACGGUAAGAGAUGAGCAUGCGUCCCAUUAGUUAGUUGGUAAGGUAACGGCUUACCAAGGCUUCGAUGGGUAGGGGUCCUGAGAGGGAGAUCCCCCACACUGGUACUGAGACACGGACCAGACUCCUACGGGAGGCAGCAGUGAGGAAUAUUGGACAAUGGACGGAAGUCUGAUCCAGCCAUGCCGCGUGUAGGAAGACUGCCCUAUGGGUUGUAAACUACUUUUAUACAGGAAGAAUAAGAUCUACGUGUAGAUUGAUGACGGUACUGUAAGAAUAAGGACCGGCUAACUCCGUGCCAGCAGCCGCGGUAAUACGGAGGGUCCGAGCGUUAUCCGGAAUUAUUGGGUUUAAAGGGUCCGUAGGCGGGCUGUUAAGUCAGAGGUGAAAUGCUGCGGCUCAACCGUAUGCACUGCCUUUGAUACUGGCGGUCUUGAGUUAUAGUGAAGUGGCUAGAAUAUGUAGUGUAGCGGUGAAAUGCAUAGAUAUUACAUAGAAUACCGAUUGCGAAGGCAGGUCACUAACUAUACACUGACGCUGAUGGACGAAAGCGUGGGUAGCGAACAGGAUUAGAUACCCUGGUAGUCCACGCCGUAAACGAUGGAUACUAGCUGUUCGGUUUUCGGACUGAGCGGCCAAGCGAAAGUGAUAAGUAUCCCACCUGGGGAGUACGUUCGCAAGAAUGAAACUCAAAGGAAUUGACGGGGGCCCGCACAAGCGGUGGAGCAUGUGGUUUAAUUCGAUGAUACGCGAGGAACCUUACCAGGGCUUAAAUGUAGAUUGACAGGUUUAGAGAUAGACUUUUCUUCGGACAAUUUACAAGGUGCUGCAUGGUUGUCGUCAGCUCGUGCCGUGAGGUGUCAGGUUAAGUCCUAUAACGAGCGCAACCCCUGUCGUUAGUUGCCAGCAUGUCAUGAUGGGGACUCUAACGAGACUGCCGGUGCAAACCGUGAGGAAGGUGGGGAUGACGUCAAAUCAUCACGGCCCUUACGUCCUGGGCCACACACGUGCUACAAUGGCCGGUACAGAGAGCAGCCAUCUGGUAACAGAGAGCGAAUCUAUAAAACCGGUCACAGUUCGGAUCGGGGUCUGCAACUCGACCCC
RNAcentral lists this ribosomal RNA (1156 nucleotides) under Cellulophaga sp. MAR_2010_47. RNAcentral's name for it is "bacterial SSU rRNA". It matches the Rfam family "Bacterial small subunit ribosomal RNA", at positions 157 to 1319 of the family's 1533-position model. The record is from RNAcentral. Lineage: Bacteria; Pseudomonadati; Bacteroidota; Flavobacteriia; Flavobacteriales; Flavobacteriaceae.